The sequence is a small nuclear RNA, 93 nucleotides long. Its record names the gene U4. It matches the Rfam family "U4 spliceosomal RNA". From Rfam's summary of the family: U4 small nuclear RNA (U4 snRNA) is a component of the major U2-dependent spliceosome. The structure of U4 snRNA from yeast and human has been reported. U4 snRNA presents a k-turn RNA motif in the 5p-SL related to recognition of Snu13 protein. The record is from Ensembl.
AACUUUGUGCAGUGGCAGUAUCAUAGUCAAUGAGGUUUAUCCGAGGCACGAUUAUUGCUAAUUGAGAACAAAGCAGUGGCAGAAGUGAUUAUU